This 440-nucleotide ribosomal RNA is filed under the name uncultured bacterium. RNAcentral describes it as "partial 16S ribosomal RNA". It matches the Rfam family "Bacterial small subunit ribosomal RNA", at positions 338 to 795 of the family's 1533-position model. The record is from RNAcentral.
CCUACGGGGGGCAGCAGUGGGGGAUAUUGCACAAUGGGGGAAACCCUGAUGCAGCGACGCCGCGUGGGUGAAGAAGCGCCUCGGCGCGUAAAGCCCUGUCAGCAGAGAAGAAAAUGACGGUACCUGAAGAAGAAGCCCCGGCUAACUACGUGCCAGCAGCCGCGGUAAUACGUAGGGGGCAAGCGUUAUCCGGAUUUACUGGGUGUAAAGGGGGCGCAGACGGCGAUGCAAGCCAGGAGUGAAAGCCCGGGGCCCAACCCCGGGACUGCUCGUGGAACUGCGUGGCGAGAGUGCAGGAGGGGCAGGCGGAAUUCCUGGUGUAGCGGUGAAAUGCGUAGAUAUCAGGAGGAACACCGGUGGCGAAGGCGGCCUGCUGGACUGCAACUGACGUUGAGGCCCGAAAGCGUGGGGAGCAAACAGGAUUAGAUACCCGGGUAGUC